This is a long non-coding RNA of Zophobas morio, 442 nucleotides long. RefSeq lists it as uncharacterized. The transcript is spliced from 4 exons. The record is from RefSeq and is a predicted model, not a curated record. NCBI's taxonomy places the organism in Eukaryota, Metazoa, Arthropoda, Insecta, Coleoptera, Tenebrionidae.
UGCCUUUUCACUAUUUUCUCCGAGUUCUUUACUUCCUUUUAUGACAAUGGCAGCCACGCUAACCACGAAACCAACGUUUUGGAAACUUGGUUUAUCUUUUGUUGGGAUGUUUUCUUCACUAUAUUUAUGGGAGUUUCUAACAUAUACAAACUCGUCAAAAGAAUUAUCUUUUAAGACGCAGUUCGCGCGCCAUGCAGGUCGCGUGUAUCUUGCAAGAAUAGAUAUUAUUGCUUCGAGCAUCAGUACUUUUUACGCUGGAAUUGCUGAAUCGAAAAUACUUUCUUUGCAGUACGAAAUUGAUGAGCAUAAUGGCCAAUUACAGAAAGAAAUUGGCGCUCUGAAAAGCGAGGAAGAAAGUCUAAGCAGAAUAUUAAACGAAGCGCAAGCCAUAAAUGAAAAGUCUAAAGAUUGCAUUACUUUGCUCAACAAAUAUUAUAACACG